RNAcentral lists this unclassified non-coding RNA (200 nucleotides) under soil metagenome. RNAcentral describes it as "partial contains internal transcribed spacer 2 and large subunit ribosomal RNA". The record is from RNAcentral.
UCGAGCGUCAUUUAAACCAAUCCAGCCUUGUGCUUGGGUCUUGGGCCUUCGCCUUAGGGCGGGCCUCAAAAUCAGUGGCGGUGCUUCUGGCUCUAAGCGUAGUAAUACUUCUCGCUAUAGACGUCCGGUGGUGUCUUGCCAGCAACCCCUAAUUUUUUAAGGUUGACCUCGGAUCAGGUAGGGAUACCCGCUGAACUUAA